UACAGAGGUCUCAAGCGUUGUUCGGAUUCAUUGGGCGUAAAGGGUGCGUAGGUGGCGCGAUAAGUCGGGUGUGAAAUCUCGGAGCUUAACUCCGAAAUUGCAUUCGAUACUGCCGUGCUUGAGGACUGGAGAGGAGACUGGAAUUCAUGGUGUAGCAGUGAAAUGCGUAGAGAUCAUGAGGAACACCUGCGGCGAAGGCGGGUUGUUGGGCCGACACUGACGCUGAAGUGCGAAAGCCAGGGGAGCGAACGGG
RNAcentral lists this ribosomal RNA (253 nucleotides) under uncultured prokaryote. Its description in RNAcentral is "partial 16S ribosomal RNA". It matches the Rfam family "Bacterial small subunit ribosomal RNA", at positions 524 to 776 of the family's 1533-position model. The record is from RNAcentral.